GGUUAAGCGACUAAGCGUACACGGUGGAUGCCCUGGCAGUCAGAGGCGAUGAAGGACGUGCUAAUCUGCGAUAAGCGUCGGUAAGGUGAUAUGAACCGUUAUAACCGGCGAUUUCCGAAUGGGGAAACCCAGUGUGUUUCGACACACUAUCAUUAACUGAAUCCAUAGGUUAAUGAGGCGAACCGGGGGAACUGAAACAUCUAAGUACCCCGAGGAAAAGAAAUCAACCGAGAUUCCCCCAGUAGCGGCGAGCGAACGGGGAGCAGCCCAGAGCCUGAAUCAGUGUGUGUGUUAGUGGAAGCGUCUGGAAAGGCGCGCGAUACAGGGUGACAGCCCCGUACACAAAAAUGCACAUGCUGUGAGCUCGAUGAGUAGGGCGGGACACGUGGUAUCCUGUCUGAAUAUGGGGGGACCAUCCUCCAAGGCUAAAUACUCCUGACUGACCGAUAGUGAACCAGUACCGUGAGGGAAAGGCGAAAAGAACCCCGGCGAGGGGAGUGAAAAAGAACCUGAAACCGUGUACGUACAAGCAGUGGGAGCACGCUUAGGCGUGUGACUGCGUACCUUUUGUAUAAUGGGUCAGCGACUUAUAUUCUGUAGCAAGGUUAACCGAAUAGGGGAGCCGAAGGGAAACCGAGUCUUAACUGGGCGUUAAGUUGCAGGGUAUAGACCCGAAACCCGGUGAUCUAGCCAUGGGCAGGUUGAAGGUUGGGUAACACUAACUGGAGGACCGAACCGACUAAUGUUGAAAAAUUAGCGGAUGACUUGUGGCUGGGGGUGAAAGGCCAAUCAAACCGGGAGAUAGCUGGUUCUCCCCGAAAGCUAUUUAGGUAGCGCCUCGUGAAUUCAUCUCCGGGGGUAGAGCACUGUUUCGGCAAGGGGGUCAUCCCGACUUACCAACCCGAUGCAAACUGCGAAUACCGGAGAAUGUUAUCACGGGAGACACACGGCGGGUGCUAACGUCCGUCGUGAAGAGGGAAACAACCCAGACCGCCAGCUAAGGUCCCAAAGUCAUGGUUAAGUGGGAAACGAUGUGGGAAGGCCCAGACAGCCAGGAUGUUGGCUUAGAAGCAGCCAUCAUUUAAAGAAAGCGUAAUAGCUCACUGGUCGAGUCGGCCUGCGCGGAAGAUGUAACGGGGCUAAACCAUGCACCGAAGCUGCGGCAGCGACGCUUAUGCGUUGUUGGGUAGGGGAGCGUUCUGUAAGCCUGUGAAGGUGUGCUGUGAGGCAUGCUGGAGGUAUCAGAAGUGCGAAUGCUGACAUAAGUAACGAUAAAGCGGGUGAAAAGCCCGCUCGCCGGAAGACCAAGGGUUCCUGUCCAACGUUAAUCGGGGCAGGGUGAGUCGACCCCUAAGGCGAGGCCGAAAGGCGUAGUCGAUGGGAAACAGGUUAAUAUUCCUGUACUUGGUGUUACUGCGAAGGGGGGACGGAGAAGGCUAUGUUGGCCGGGCGACGGUUGUCCCGGUUUAAGCGUGUAGGCUGGUUUUCCAGGCAAAUCCGGAAAAUCAAGGCUGAGGCGUGAUGACGAGGCACUACGGUGCUGAAGCAACAAAUGCCCUGCUUCCAGGAAAAGCCUCUAAGCAUCAGGUAACAUCAAAUCGUACCCCAAACCGACACAGGUGGUCAGGUAGAGAAUACCAAGGCGCUUGAGAGAACUCGGGUGAAGGAACUAGGCAAAAUGGUGCCGUAACUUCGGGAGAAGGCACGCUGAUAUGUAGGUGAAGCGACUUGCUCGUGGAGCUGAAAUCAGUCGAAGAUACCAGCUGGCUGCAACUGUUUAUUAAAAACACAGCACUGUGCAAACACGAAAGUGGACGUAUACGGUGUGACGCCUGCCCGGUGCCGGAAGGUUAAUUGAUGGGGUCAGCGCAAGCGAAGCUCUUGAUCGAAGCCCCGGUAAACGGCGGCCGUAACUAUAACGGUCCUAAGGUAGCGAAAUUCCUUGUCGGGUAAGUUCCGACCUGCACGAAUGGCGUAAUGAUGGCCAGGCUGUCUCCACCCGAGACUCAGUGAAAUUGAACUCGCUGUGAAGAUGCAGUGUACCCGCGGCAAGACGGAAAGACCCCGUGAACCUUUACUAUAGCUUGACACUGAACAUUGAGCCUUGAUGUGUAGGAUAGGUGGGAGGCUUUGAAGUGUGGACGCCAGUCUGCAUGGAGCCGACCUUGAAAUACCACCCUUUAAUGUUUGAUGUUCUAACGUUGACCCGUAAUCCGGGUUGCGGACAGUGUCUGGUGGGUAGUUUGACUGGGGCGGUCUCCUCCUAAAGAGUAACGGAGGAGCACGAAGGUUGGCUAAUCCUGGUCGGACAUCAGGAGGUUAGUGCAAUGGCAUAAGCCAGCUUGACUGCGAGCGUGACGGCGCGAGCAGGUGCGAAAGCAGGUCAUAGUGAUCCGGUGGUUCUGAAUGGAAGGGCCAUCGCUCAACGGAUAAAAGGUACUCCGGGGAUAACAGGCUGAUACCGCCCAAGAGUUCAUAUCGACGGCGGUGUUUGGCACCUCGAUGUCGGCUCAUCACAUCCUGGGGCUGAAGUAGGUCCCAAGGGUAUGGCUGUUCGCCAUUUAAAGUGGUACGCGAGCUGGGUUUAGAACGUCGUGAGACAGUUCGGUCCCUAUCUGCCGUGGGCGCUGGAGAACUGAGGGGGGCUGCUCCUAGUACGAGAGGACCGGAGUGGACGCAUCACUGGUGUUCGGGUUGUCAUGCCAAUGGCACUGCCCGGUAGCUAAAUGCGGAAGAGAUAAGUGCUGAAAGCAUCUAAGCACGAAACUUGCCCCGAGAUGAGUUCUCCCUGACCCUUUAAGGGUCCUGAAGGAACGUUGAAGACGACGACGUUGAUAGGCCGGGUGUGUAAGCGCAGCGAUGCGUUGAGCUAACCGGUACUAAUGAACCGUGAGGCUUAACCUUACAACGCCGAAGGUGUUUUG
This 2924-nucleotide ribosomal RNA is filed under the name Escherichia coli. RNAcentral describes it as "LSU rRNA". It matches the Rfam family "Bacterial large subunit ribosomal RNA". Lineage: Bacteria; Pseudomonadati; Pseudomonadota; Gammaproteobacteria; Enterobacterales; Enterobacteriaceae. The record is from RNAcentral.